This 19-nucleotide ribosomal RNA is filed under the name Lejeunea laetevirens. RNAcentral describes it as "partial 18S ribosomal RNA". Lineage: Eukaryota; Viridiplantae; Streptophyta; Jungermanniopsida; Porellales; Lejeuneaceae. The record is from RNAcentral.
CGGCGGGAUUUAAAGUGAC